GCGCACGGCCGUGUCCGCGCUGUCGCGAAACCCUUGCAGGAGCAACCUUUUCCCCCAGAAAACAUGUCCUAUGUAAUCCCUCUCCCCUCCUCUCGCGACCCCCUUCAAAAUCCCUCGCAAAAACCUCCCACGUCCGCCACCAUCUUCGUUCCGAUCUCGCCUCAGCCACUGCAGUUCACCGUCGUUUUCUUCACCGCUUCGUCAACAAACUCGUCCGCCUCGCCGGAGCACGGGGAGAUCACCAGAGGUUCUCGAGCUUGUUGCGGUCGCGGUAGCCGCCACCAACACUCUCCAACACCACCCCGACGACGCCCUCGCUCCACCGCAUCUCACCGAGCCCUCCGCCGACGCCCGCGACCCCCGGAAUCGCCGCCCCGCUCGACGCCUACCGCUACUCCAUCGCAUAUGUAUGUCGUCAACAUCGCUAAUUCGUGGAGUGCGAGGCUUGUUACUACGAGUCACUAGCUUUGGAAGAUUGUCGGCAAGGCAAGUCUUUAUCAUGAAUUUAUUUACCGAUAUGUUUUAUUUCAUUAAUAGAAUUUCCUCCCACCAUGCAUGCAGUAGGAGAAAUUUAAUCAAGUCUUGAGUAGUAUGAUGUGGUAGGUUGACCCAAAUCCCUAUCUUACCCUUGCCCGGGAUGUUGUAGUUUAUUUUGCUAUGCUCUGUAGCGACCCGACCUCAAACGGUCAAGUCUCUGUGCUUCAGUGUCAUCCCUGGAUCGGUAAUGCUGAC
Long non-coding RNA from Aegilops tauschii subsp. strangulata, 732 nucleotides. RefSeq lists it as uncharacterized. NCBI's taxonomy places the organism in Eukaryota, Viridiplantae, Streptophyta, Magnoliopsida, Poales, Poaceae. The record is from RefSeq and is a predicted model, not a curated record.